This is a long non-coding RNA of Bombus pascuorum, 3893 nucleotides long. RefSeq lists it as uncharacterized. The transcript has 11 exons. NCBI's taxonomy places the organism in Eukaryota, Metazoa, Arthropoda, Insecta, Hymenoptera, Apidae. The record is from RefSeq and is a predicted model, not a curated record.
UCGAGUUAAUUCGUUAACUGUUUCUUAUAGGCUUACAAGAUCCUCCAAAUAAAAGUUAAAAUCUGAAUUUAUAAAUUAAUUUGGCAAUCAUGUCACUCAAUCUAAUUCAAGUUUAUUAAUGGUAAGACACUUGAUUCCAUCUAUUAUUUAACAGUGAAAUUAUGGCAAUAUUUAUAAUACCUGAUAUUUUCCAGGACUUUGCAAUGGCAGUUAAGAGUUAAGAAUCAUAUCGCUAAAGAUUGUGUGGUACAGCGUAUGUUCUAACUAUAAAGUUCAAAGGUCAGUAGCACAGAAGUCAUCGACAGUCGUGUACGUCAGACACGUUACGUCACUUCGAAUCGACGUUCUGCUAUUGUCACGCGUAUAUCUGCGCAUUCACGAGCAAUUACCCGGGGUGGGGUAAUCCCGUUAGGCGACGUACAGCUUCCACGGGGGAGGAUCAAAGGACUCGCUAUUCCAAGCUACUGCACUCUUUGGUUGUUCCAGUCGUCGCUACAAUGCUACUGGGGCCUGCAAGAAGGGGAAUCAUCCACGUCUACGUCGUUCCUCGACUUUGUUGGAACUUUGGGCAACUUCCUAAUGCACACCUCUGUUCAACCAACGUCGCUACGCAGCUUCGUACAAUUAUCGUUACUAUUCCGUUUCCGUACCUUUCCCAUAUUUUUAGCCCUUUAUAUCUGAAUUUCCGGUUUCGUUUUUCUGCCACAAGGAUUACCAAAUCCUCUUGAUAUUGUCUUUGCAUCGUCGUUGGAAUGUUUUACAUCGAGAUAGAUUUGCAUAAUACAUUUUGAAUUUCUAUGGAAUUAGAAAAUGAGUGGAUUUUUAGAUCUUGAUGAUGUGGCGAAGAUUAAAAUGGUAAAGAAUUCUUACUGGAACUGAACUUAUCAAAGAUAUUUUGGAUAUUUUGUUCUCACGAUUAGUAAAGAUAUUCAGGUAUCUACUAUUAUCAAGACCAACGCUAAUAUUUUAAUAAGUACAGAAACUUGAAAGGAAACAUUUAUAUCGGAAAUUAACUUGGAUUCAGAAACUGACGCGGCACACGCUAAAUCUUCUGUACUUAUACGGUUAGCAGAGAACGUGGCAGCGCGGUGGAAAAAUUCUGCAACGCGACACGAGACGGCAAUCGCUUAAUUGUGAUUAAUUGCGGUUUUACCAGGAAAAGAUCGCGUUGUAACGCGCGGCCCGAUUACCCGGCGCGAGUCGCUCAAGCGAUUCGCUUGCUCGCGCAACUUUAAAGAGCCAAUUAACACACGCACAAAUGUGCUGUCUCUUUUGGAGUUUAUUUUUUUGGAGAAGAUCCAAUAUUCUGCACAAAUAUUUUCUUUAGGUUUUUGAUGCUUCUUAAUCCUAUUCACCUUACAAAUUUUUGCUAGGAACCAAAUUAGUUCUAUAGAAGGCUCUGUAAUUAUAUCAUCCUUAAUGUUCAUGUCAAAGGAAAAUGUCCCAUGAACCGCAAUACAAUUUAUCUGCAUCUCGUUCAAGAUGAAUACAACGUAUAAGCUUAAAGUACGAUGGAAGGAGGAAAGUUUCGAUGCCUAUUGCUGCGACAUCCGGUUUCCGGACAAGUGAAAUGGCGAAUGGAAUAAUUUAAUAUAGGGGCGAUACAAGGGCCAAAGCGAUCGGUCUAAUCGUGUCUGAACGAGGUUAAAACACCGGCACCCGCCGCUCUUAUUUACGUCCGACAAUAAGUCAAUUCAUCACUCUGCGAUUUGGCCUUAAGUGGUAUCACUGACUCAUACACACAGCCGUCUGGAGCGGUGUGCCUAUUUCGGGCAUAAAUCACUGUUACCCGUGCGGUGCGUAAUAAUGAACAAGCGAGCGUAGCACGCGACCCUUUAAACGUGCUGGCUGGCAAACGAGUGGCUCGUAAGGUAACAGGGAUUAGCUUUGGUCCCUAUGUGUCCCUGCUUAAUCCUGAAAACGUUACGGGCCGCGAAAUUCUUCGCUCGUAUCAGGUCACGUAAAAAUGCAAUUUUACGAGUACGUAGGUUUACAAACUAGGGACCAAGCUAUGCAGAUAACAAUGAAGAUAAAGAAAUGGAUUUUUAUUGCUUGAUAAAUUGGAAAAGCUAACGUACAAUCAGUUUAGAUAUUUUAGAAGUAUUGUAGUCGAAGGAAUAUUUUUAUAACGGUAACUCUAGAAUUUGAAUUGCGAGGGAAAAUUGUCUCUAGUAAACGCAUGCAGUCGGUGAUGUAAUUGCGCUCAUGCGAAGCGCGUUUGCUCAGACAAAUAGAAGAUACCAGGGAAGAUACCAUUUUUAUCGUAGUACCGUGCAAUUAUUUAUGUUUAAGCUUUAAUUGUUGUUUAAGUGUUAAGUUGUUGGUAAGCAAGUAACAAAUAAACAAUUAAUCAGCGAAGAACUUGAGUAAUGAUUUGUUCUGUAUGUUAAGGGGCACUAUAGGCAGUUAAUGAAGGGUAGAAUACUCUGGUAAUAUAAAGAUGCACCGAAGAAAAUCUAUUACGUCUGUUACACCAGUUGAUGAUUAACAUAGAAUGCCCAUGACUUUUCUAUCUAGUCGUCUUAAGUAACUAAUUAUACAAAUUCACCAUUACUACUAUUCCGACUUAUCAAUACCUGGGGUAUUUUGUACGAUAAUAUAUUACUAGAUAAUAAUAUUAGUUGAUUAACAAAUAACAGGUUGUACUUUAUAAAUUUCUAUUGCUACCUUGCAUUAAAUAGGACAAUUAGACAGACUUUACUUUACUUAUUUUAUUACCAAACUUGUCACUAUUAUGCUGAACCUGAACGUUGCAGGUCCACGUAAGAUCCAAAGUCCUUUACCGAAGGUACGAAGUAUAAAAACUAUAUUGCCGUGGCAAUGUCAGAAGUCGCGACAUUUUAGCCGAAUGGCAGCGAGAGACGCGGAUAAACCAGGAAGUACGGGGAACCGACCGGAUCCGGCGAAGUUCUGGCACGGAUUUCGUUCACAGGCUCGUGGCCCACGGCCACGAAAACCCGGGAGACAUGGAUCGUGGGCAACAAGUCACCGGGAAACGGCGCGUGACCGCCACAUUCACGCUGCCAGAUUUACGACAAUAAAAAUGGGCGCCGCCGAAUGGAGGAUCGUCCUUUCGCCGGCCUGUAUCGAGGAAUCGAUUCGCUUUAUCGGGCAACAAUUACGACACCGCAAUGGCAAUCACCAUGUUUCAAAGGAUGACUUCGAUGUGGAAACGAUUAUCUUGAUCAGAGUAAUUAGCAGAUUGCUUGGGCUCAGUUGUUGUGGAAGUAUGGAAAAGGGGAAGAAGAUAAUGAAAGGAUAUUUGGAACUGUUCAGUGUUCAAUCAUUUUCAUUGUCCAUUGUGUAAUGGACGACGAGGAACUUGCGGAAUGUCUUUCCACUAAACGUCGUGUCACAUUUGGAUUCGAUACAUCGAUGGCCAAUGUACUUGAAGAAGGGUUGCUGCAAGGAUACAAGGAUAUAAGAAUGGCUGAAUCGGCACCGGUCGUGUCUCAGCCACAAUAUUAUUCUUCCAGCCGAUACAACGUUUGGAUGGAAUGGGAAUGGCGAAAGAAACAUUUUGCAGAUUGGGCAAUUUUAACGAAGCACUUUACAUCAGUAUCUAUGUAUCAGUGGAUUCUUGAAGAUGCUGGCUAAAAUGCUUGCGAGACGUUGGAUUAUUUCUUUGCAGAAGAUACAUCUGUCAUUAUGUACUUCGGAUUUCCGGAGUCUAGCUUGCAACAUUCUGCGACCUUUCAUCCAUCCAAGAGGAGUCUACAUCCGCAAAAAGCAGGCGAUGAUUAUUCUUCAAGCACCUUCUCAUAUCUGGUUUCCCAAGUUUCACCAUGUUCGUCUUCCAUGAUAAUGCUACAACUACCAAUGAAAAACCAUGAAACACGCGAAUCUAUGAAAUUUCAAUGAAAAAUUACAAACUGGUAGUUCUAGUAUCGAAA